Molecule: ribosomal RNA, 1446 nt
Filed under: uncultured organism
Description: SSU rRNA
Rfam family: Bacterial small subunit ribosomal RNA
Source: RNAcentral
GAACGCUAGCUACAGGCUUAACACAUGCAAGUCGAGGGGCAGCAUUUUAGUUUGCUUGCAAACUGAAGAUGGCGACCGGCGCACGGGUGAGUAACACGUAUCCAACCUACCGAUAACUCCGGAAUAGCCUUUCGAAAGAAAGAUUAAUACCGGAUAGCAUACGAAUAUCGCAUGAUAUUUUUAUUAAAGAAUUUCGGUUAUCGAUGGGGAUGCGUUCCAUUAGUUUGUUGGCGGGGUAACGGCCCACCAAGACUACGAUGGAUAGGGGUUCUGAGAGGAAGGUCCCCCACAUUGGAACUGAGACACGGUCCAAACUCCUACGGGAGGCAGCAGUGAGGAAUAUUGGUCAAUGGGCGAGAGCCUGAACCAGCCAAGUAGCGUGAAGGAUGAAGGCUCUAUGGGUCGUAAACUUCUUUUAUAUGGGAAUAAAGUUUUCCACGUGUGGAAUUUUGUAUGUACCAUAUGAAUAAGGAUCGGCUAACUCCGUGCCAGCAGCCGCGGUAAUACGGAGGAUCCGAGCGUUAUCCGGAUUUAUUGGGUUUAAAGGGAGCGUAGGUGGAUUGUUAAGUCAGUUGUGAAAGUUUGCGGCUCAACCGUAAAAUUGCAGUUGAAACUGGCAGUCUUGAGUACAGUAGAGGUGGGCGGAAUUCGUGGUGUAGCGGUGAAAUGCUUAGAUAUCACGAAGAACUCCGAUUGCGAAGGCAGCUCACUAGACUGCCACUGACACUGAUGCUCGAAAGUGUGGGUAUCAAACAGGAUUAGAUACCCUGGUAGUCCACACAGUAAACGAUGAAUACUCGCUGUUUGCGAUAUACAGUAAGCGGCCAAGCGAAAGCAUUAAGUAUUCCACCUGGGGAGUACGCCGGCAACGGUGAAACUCAAAGGAAUUGACGGGGGCCCGCACAAGCGGAGGAACAUGUGGUUUAAUUCGAUGAUACGCGAGGAACCUUACCCGGGCUUAAAUUGCAACAGAAUAUAUUGGAAACAGUAUAGCCGUAAGGCUGUUGUGAAGGUGCUGCAUGGUUGUCGUCAGCUCGUGCCGUGAGGUGUCGGCUUAAGUGCCAUAACGAGCGCAACCCUUAUCUUUAGUUACUAACAGGUUAUGCUGAGGACUCUAGAGAGACUGCCGUCGUAAGAUGUGAGGAAGGUGGGGAUGACGUCAAAUCAGCACGGCCCUUACGUCCGGGGCUACACACGUGUUACAAUGGGGGGUACAGAAGGCGGCUACCUGGUGACAGGAUGCUAAUCCCAAAAACCUCUCUCAGUUCGGAUCGAAGUCUGCAACCCGACUUCGUGAAGCUGGAUUCGCUAGUAAUCGCGCAUCAGCCAUGGCGCGGUGAAUACGUUCCCGGGCCUUGUACACACCGCCCGUCAAGCCAUGAAAGCCGGGGGUACCUGAAGCACGUAACCGCAAGGAGCGUCCUAGGGUAAAACUGGUAAUUGGGG